CUCACAUACUCCUGAACUGUAGGGAUUAAUAUACCUUCCACUUGCCUCUCAUAUGCAUCCCCAGUGGGGCUCGGUAUGCUGGAAUUUGGUGGCAAGCACCACCCCCUGCUUGCUGUGCCCCCAAAUUCCUGACCCCUACAUGCCCUAUCUUUGACACCAUUGCUCUAAAGCCCCUGAGCUCUAUAACUAUUUGUUGUCAUGGCAGUAUUUUCCAUAUUGCAUUUACUCUCCUGCAUUCUAAGAAACUACUAUAGCUCUAUGGCUAUUGUAUAUAUACCUCCAUGAUUACCAUCACCAUCUCCUCCUCUUUCUCCUAUCCAUUUUAAAAAGUAGUCCUCGCCUUCAUUUUUAAUGGAUGUGGCUUAGCCACUUACCUCCAAAAGCAGGUUGAGGGCCAUGAAUCUUAAAAGCAUGGAAACACAUUCAUCAGUCCAGAGUUUGGUGCCUAAGACCCACCUCCCCACAGAAAGAAAAACUGUACUAUGUGAGACACUUUUAACUGCUUGAGACAGCUCCUCACUGAGUGUGUUAGAUGCUGCGAAUCCUCACUGAAGUACUAAUGUUAAUUAAAUUGUUAAUUUUGCCACCUCAGAUCACGAUAGAAAGAGAAUGAAGUUCAGUAUAGUGGCCCUGCUUUAAACUAUCUAACCAUUUCUUGAAACAUGAGCAUAUAGGGUCAUGACUCAGCAAGGUAAUAAAGCAUGUGGAAAGUUCAGUUAAUGCAUUAUCUUAUUUUACUGAAUCAGUCAUCAUGAUAAAACUACUGCAGUUUUACCAUUUAUGAGUUAGAGACACGUUAUCAAGGUCAGUUGUUUAUUACAAAACGUAGCCGGCUUUCUUGUGCCUCUUGGCAAAGUCCUCUGCAGAACCAUAUGCAGGUGAUUUCUAAAAAAGGGAAUGCUUCAAUAAUAAACUCUGAAUAAGUGCCAUCAACAAACCAUUUAUAAUAAAUCCUAUACCAGCACCAAGCUGAUAAGGAAAUCAUAGCUUUAAACUAUGUAAAUUUUUAACACAAAAAGUCAAUAACAAUAAUAGAGUGCCCUUAUAUGUCAAUAACAUAUAAGGAGUGGCCUUUUGGCUGAAAAAUAUAAAAUGAGAUGACCAAGCCACCAAUGGCAGACUCCCAAAUUUCCACAACUAUAAUUUUUAUAUGUAACUUCUAUAUAGAAAAGUUAUAUGAACAGUAAUUAUCAGUCUUACAGGAUCUUUCAUUACACCCACACUCUUCCUGUAUUCAAGUUAACAGGGGGUUUUUUUAGCAUGACAAAGGGUUGAAUUUGAACCACAGAUAAAUGAUAGGAAAUAGAUCUGCACUUUGUUUCCAUUUAUACAUUCAUUGAGGUAUGUAUUUAUUAUCAAGACAUUUUCAAAGGCAAAAAAGAGAAAUCUAUUUAUAAAUCAACCUUAAAUUAAUAUACUAAAAAGAGCCAGAAUCAUGCCAGCAUAUAUACAAACACAUGCAUAACAAGUUUUCCCCACUAUUUACAUUCAUGUAAUCAAAGUCAUAUAUGAAAGAUCUGUUCGUCUGGCGGUUAUACUUCUUCAUUAAAAACAACUGUACUAUACAGUUUUUCUCAAGGCAGUGUUCCAACAGUUCCUAUUAAUAACACGUUUAGCCCUGGAUUCAGUAAAGCACUUGAACACUCGCCUGAAAUCAAUACAUCUACUCCUAUGUUUAAAAUUAAGAAUAUGCUUAAGGGCUUUUGUUAGAGCGGAGCCAGCAGGUGAAAAGUAUUAACUCCCAAUGGUAUUCUGUAGAAACCAAGACUAAUUCGUAUCUUGGAUGGGGACACAAAACAAUGAAAUAGGCACACUCUAUAUAAAGCAUUAUUUUUCAAACUCAUAGGUUCAAUGUAAGUGUAUAAAACAUAAGUUGUGCCUUCACCUCUCUGAUAUGCAUGAAUGCUACAUAAGAUUCCAGUGAGUUCAGGUGUGGACAU
This is a long non-coding RNA of Gavialis gangeticus (Gharial), 1940 nucleotides long. RefSeq lists it as uncharacterized. The record is from RefSeq and is a predicted model, not a curated record. The transcript has 2 exons. NCBI's taxonomy places the organism in Eukaryota, Metazoa, Chordata, Crocodylia, Gavialidae.